AUUGAACGCUGGCGGCAGGCCUAACACAUGCAAGUCGAACGGUAACAGAAAGCAGCUUGCUGCUUUGCUGACGAGUGGCGGACGGGUGAGUAAUGUCUGGGAAACUGCCCGAUGGAGGGGGAUAACUACUGGAAACGGUAGCUAAUACCGCAUAACGUCGCAAGACCAAAGAGGGGGACCUUCGGGCCUCUUGCCAUCGGAUGUGCCCAGAUGGGAUUAGCUAGUAGGUGGGGUAACGGCUCACCUAGGCGACGAUCCCUAGCUGGUCUGAGAGGAUGACCAGCCACACUGGAACUGAGACACGGUCCAGACUCCUACGGGAGGCAGCAGUGGGGAAUAUUGCACAAUGGGCGCAAGCCUGAUGCAGCCAUGCCGCGUGUAUGAAGAAGGCUUUCGGGUUGUAAAGUACUUUCAGCGGGGAGGAAGGGAGUAAAGUUAAUACCUUUGCUCAUUGACGUACCCGCAGAAGAGCACCGCA
RNAcentral lists this ribosomal RNA (478 nucleotides) under Escherichia coli. Its description in RNAcentral is "bacterial SSU rRNA". It matches the Rfam family "Bacterial small subunit ribosomal RNA", at positions 30 to 497 of the family's 1533-position model. The record is from RNAcentral. Lineage: Bacteria; Pseudomonadati; Pseudomonadota; Gammaproteobacteria; Enterobacterales; Enterobacteriaceae.